RNAcentral lists this ribosomal RNA (468 nucleotides) under uncultured bacterium. Its description in RNAcentral is "partial 16S ribosomal RNA". It matches the Rfam family "Bacterial small subunit ribosomal RNA", at positions 28 to 507 of the family's 1533-position model. The record is from RNAcentral.
GACGAACGCUGGCGGCGUGCUUAACACAUGCAAGUCGAACGGAAAGGCCCUGCUUUUGUGGGGUGCUCGAGUGGCGAACGGGUGAGUAACACGUGAGUAACCUGCCCUUGACUUUGGGAUAACUUCAGGAAACUGGGGCUAAUACCGGAUAGGAGCUCCUGCUGCAUGGUGGGGGUUGGAAAGUUUCGGCGGUUGGGGAUGGACUCGCGGCUUAUCAGCUUGUUGGUGGGGUAGUGGCUUACCAAGGCUUUGACGGGUAGCUGGCCUGAGAGGGUGACCGGCCACAUUGGGACUGAGAUACGGCCCAGACUCCUACGGGAGGCAGUGGUGGGGAAUAUUGCACAAUGGGAGGAAGCCUGAUGCAGCAACGCCGCGUGCGGGAUGACGGCCUUCGGGUUGUAAACCGCUUUCGCCUGUGACGAAGCGUUAGUGACGGUAAUGGGUAAAGAAGCACCGGCUAACUACGUG